This 298-nucleotide ribosomal RNA is filed under the name uncultured bacterium. Its description in RNAcentral is "partial 16S ribosomal RNA". It matches the Rfam family "Bacterial small subunit ribosomal RNA", at positions 775 to 1067 of the family's 1533-position model. The record is from RNAcentral.
GGAUUAGAUACCCUGGUAGUCCACGCCGUAAACGAUGCACACUAGGUCGAUGGCGCUUCGACGCGUUGUCGGCCGGAGAGAAAUUAUUAAGUGUGCCGCCUGGGGAGUACGGUCGCAAGGCUAAAACUCAAAGGAAUUGACGGGGGCUCACACAAGCGGUGGAGCAUGUUGCUUAAUUCGAAACAACGCGAAGAACCUUACCUGGGCUUGACAUGCACGGAUUAGCUCUUGGAAACAUGAGUGACGCCCUCGGGUGGAACGUGCACAGGUGCUGCAUGGCUGUCGUCAGCUCGUGUUG